This is a non-coding RNA of Pelobates cultripes (western spadefoot toad), 597 nucleotides long. Lineage: Eukaryota; Metazoa; Chordata; Amphibia; Anura; Pelobatidae. The record is from the annotation of a GenBank genome assembly.
GCACUGAUGAGAGCUGCCAGAGACACCCAUCUGCAAAUAGGACACCAGGUUCAAUUUUUUUCAGGAUCUGGCCUCCAGCACCCUGCACAAAUGGAAGGCACGUUGGCCCUUAACUCAAGCACUCACACAGAAGAGACUUAGAUAUGCACCCCUUCAAGUUAAUGGUCCGCAGGGAGGAAAGAACCUAUAUCCUGCAUGACCUCUCCGAUGCACAGGACUUUGUGACACAUCUGGGUCUACCACGCAUUAAUAUGGAAACCCGAAUUUGCCCAGAAGGACUUCCUGUAGAGGGUACCAACCUACUGGCCCUGCCACGGAGGCGCAGACCAUCCAGAUGAGAGCUACAAUGCCCCUUAGGACUCUAAUAUAAAUUCUCUACUGGGGCCGUACCGUUGUGAUAACUACAUCAGUAGGGCGAUCCUCCCAAGCUACUACUCCUAAUUGAGCUCCAGCAAACAGAAGGCCUACAAACCCAUGACUCCCGGACACAACUGGCAGCAAAGAGACUGUCCCUGAUCUUCACACGGCUGAUACCAUCCACAACACAGAGAUACGAAUGAGAUUGCAUGUUUAUUUGUCCACAACCUGUCACUUCCC